RNAcentral lists this non-coding RNA (208 nucleotides) under Fibrocapsa japonica. Lineage: Eukaryota; Raphidophyceae; Chattonellales; Chattonellaceae. The record is from RNAcentral.
AUCAUCAGCAACAAACGAGCAGGGUGAGAGACUACGACCAAAAGCGACAAAGUGUCUUAGUCGACUUGGGGGAUUUACUCUCGUGAAUGCAGUGGUGCUACUCCUUGUUAUAGCUGUACCUCACACCACCCUCUAUGUCGAGGAACCCCCAGCGAAUUCCGGGGGAUUUCACAUAACAGGAGCAAAUUACAGCGCUGCACAAAACUCU